This 277-nucleotide ribosomal RNA is filed under the name Bacillus thuringiensis serovar thuringiensis. RNAcentral describes it as "partial 16S ribosomal RNA". It matches the Rfam family "Bacterial small subunit ribosomal RNA", at positions 1 to 265 of the family's 1533-position model. Lineage: Bacteria; Bacillati; Bacillota; Bacilli; Caryophanales; Bacillaceae. The record is from RNAcentral.
UUUAUUGGAGAGUUUGAUCCUGGCUCAGGAUGAACGCUGGCGGCGUGCCUAAUACAUGCAAGUCGAGCGAAUGGAUUGAGAGCUUGCUCUCAAGAAGUUAGCGGCGGACGGGUGAGUAACACGUGGGUAACCUGCCCAUAAGACUGGGAUAACUCCGGGAAACCGGGGCUAAUACCGGAUAACAUUUUGAACUGCAUGGUUCGAAAUUGAAAGGCGGCUUCGGCUGUCACUUAUGGAUGGACCCGCGUCGCAUUAGCUAGUUGGUGAGGUAACGGCU